GCCGAAGUGGCGGAAUUGGCAGACGCGCUAGGUUCAGGACCUAGUGAGGAUUUUUCCUCGUGGGGGUUCGAGUCCCCCCUUCGGCACCA
This 89-nucleotide transfer RNA is filed under the name Candidatus Aegiribacteria sp. Its description in RNAcentral is "tRNA-Leu". It matches the Rfam family "tRNA". Rfam says of the family: Transfer RNA (tRNA) molecules are approximately 80 nucleotides in length. The record is from RNAcentral. Lineage: Bacteria; Pseudomonadati.